This 265-nucleotide long non-coding RNA is filed under the name Lathyrus oleraceus (garden pea). Its description in RNAcentral is "Pisum sativum (pea) long non-coding RNA (PSAT_LNC035861)". The record is from RNAcentral. Lineage: Eukaryota; Viridiplantae; Streptophyta; Magnoliopsida; Fabales; Fabaceae.
CAGAGCAGCCUCCAAACCCUGGAGGGAACUCAACUGCACAGAAUCACCUCUGCCUCACAUAAACCCUAAAGAUUGUUUUGUAAACCUCACGGGUGCAACUCAAUUUCAAUCAAGCUCUCUAAUCAGGUUUGCCCUUAUUCCCAUUACCUACCAUUACCUUUAUGCUCUUAAUUUGGAUCAUCUGAAUGUUUGAGGUAUGAUGGAUGAAUUUCAUUAGGUUUUUGCCCACGGGUCAUAAUUAUGUAUGAAUGUAUAAAUAAUGCCU